GAGUCAAGCAUUGGUCUUGGCAAACAGGGACUGAGCUGUAACCUCUGUAAGUACACUGUUCACGACCAGUGUGCCAUGAAAGCCCUGCCUUGUGAAGUCAGCACCUAUGCCAAGUCUCGGAAGGACAUUGGUGUGAGUGAUCUCAAGCCUCCGCCCCCAACAUCACCUACAUCCUGGCCCUGGCCCUUGGCCCAUUGCUGCCCUCAGCCCCUCCCUCCCCUAGGUCCUGCUCCGACCCUCCCAAACAAGGAACUGCCUUCCUCCCCAAGGUCCAAUCACAUGUGUGGGUGCGAGGAGGCUGUGAGUCCGGGCGCUGCGACCGCUGUCAGAAAAAGAUCCGGAUCUACCACAGUCUGACGGGGCUGCAUUGUGUAUGGUGCCACCUAGAGGUCAGUUUGGGAGCCAUCCAUUCUGGGUACGUCUUACGGCCCCGCAGAGCUGCCUUCUCCACCGGCUUCCCAGCCACACCUCCUUUACAGCCACAGUUGCCCCUGCUCCCAAGGGCUCUUUCCAGCCCAGACUGCCAGGUUGAGAGGAGACAGGGUUACCUUCGUGACCUCUCUGUGCCCACCUUGUCUUUCAGAUCCACGAUGACUGCCUGCAAGCGGUGGGCCAUGAGUGUGACUGUGGGCUGCUCCGGGAUCACAUCCUGCCUCCAUCUUCCAUCUAUCCCAGUGUCCUGGCCUCUGGACCGGAUCGUAAAAAUAGCAAAACAAGCCAGAAGACCAUGGAUGAUUUAAAUUUGAGCACCUCUGAGGCUCUGCGGGUACAGGGCUGAGA
Molecule: small RNA, 780 nt
Filed under: Pongo abelii (Sumatran orangutan)
Lineage: Eukaryota; Metazoa; Chordata; Mammalia; Primates; Hominidae
Description: retained intron
Source: RNAcentral